This 2223-nucleotide unclassified non-coding RNA is filed under the name Neodiprion lecontei (redheaded pine sawfly). RNAcentral describes it as "dnaJ homolog subfamily C member 5, transcript variant X3". The record is from RNAcentral. Lineage: Eukaryota; Metazoa; Arthropoda; Insecta; Hymenoptera; Diprionidae.
AAGCGGCAGCAGCAGCAGCGAUACGUUGACAUUUAGUACUAAAAUAUUGAAUCGGGUUGUGAGCUCAGUUCAGUUGGUGCCUGGUGGCUACCCUUGUAUUUCCCGGCAAAUGUAAAGAUGUCCGUGUAACAGAGUCGCUUUUCGAGUGAAUUAUUACUCAGUAUUAUCCUCUAGCCGUUCGUCGUCCCCGGAUCCGUAUCAACACCAACGAUCAUGGACAGGAGAAAAAUGUCAACCUCGGGGGACUCCCUCUACCAGAUCUUGGAAAUCCAAAAGACAGCUACCCCUGACGAGAUAAAAAAAACAUAUCGAAAGCUCGCUCUUAGAUUCCAUCCAGAUAAAAACCCCAACAAUCCGGAGGCAGCUGAUAAGUUCAAAGAAAUAAACAGGGCACACGCCAUCCUCACGGACCUAACAAAACGCAACAUAUACGAUAAUUACGGCUCUCUUGGUCUCUAUGUAGCCGAACAAUUUGGCGAGGAAAAUGUUAAUGCUUAUUUCGUGGUUACUUCUGGCUGGUGCAAGGCCCUGUUCGCAGUCUGUGCCAUAAUAACCGGUUGUUACUGUUGCUGCUGCUGUUGCUGCUGCUGUAACUUCUGCUGCGGCAAAUGUAAACCAACGCAACCAGAGGACAGCGGUGCCUACCAUAAUUUACAGCGGAACCAGAAUGCAGAAGGAGGCAUAGUGACCGACCAGCCGAGAAGUGGGCGCAAGGAGGAUGAAAGCGACGAAGAUGCUGUAACGGCGCAACCUCAGGGAGGCGCUUCGCAGGGAGCGCAACCCAUAUUCGCAAUGCCACCACCGCCGACAACGGCCAAUGAAAAUACAACCCUUAACAGCGGCGGAGACCGCGUGAUCUACACGACCGCCACAAACCCGUUCACAGGAGCACCGGUCGGCCAAUCGACCAACGGACCAACCGAAUGGUAGUUACACAACGUUAAAAUCUGCCAGAACAGCAAACACCUUUACCGAAGUUACUAAGGGACUUUACGUUAAUCACAUGCCAAUACAUCGGUACGUAAGUGAGAAAUGAAACUGAUCAAGACUAAGAAUAUUAUAGAAACGUAUUACUAAUUAAAAUAGUAGUUCACCAAAGUUUCAAUUGUAUUAGUAGAUUAUUUAUUGUUCAUUACUCUCUCAUCAUUCUAAACUAGUCUUACGUUUUUAUAGAUUGAUGAAAAAAAAAACUUGCCGAAUGUGUCCCACACGCUGCGAAAUAUGUUAUAAUGUGUUUAUUUUUUCUGCGAUAGAAAAAUACUUUCGUAAUAACUAGCAUUAUUCAAUCGUUAAUAAUUAUUAUUAUAUCAGUUAUACUUUUCCAGUACCUUGUACAAGAAUUACAAUUUUCAAUUUGAGAACGUCAAAUCACUGUCAUUAUUGUUCGAGGGUGUGGCCGUUGACUCAUUAAUUAAUUAUAUUUUAAAUAAUGGAAACACUUAAUUUAGCGUGUCCAAUAUUACGAAACGAAAUUCUAGACGAUUGGUUUGAUUUAUGACUCGAUAUUGUAGAUAAUGUAAGACUUAAUAUUAUGCUUAGAAAAUUGUUCUAUUUUUCUGAUUUAUUAUGUACUAAAAACAUUCGAAGACAUUCUCGAGAUAUCUUUUUCACAAACUUCCGUACCGUGUAAUUGUUGUGACCAAGUCGCACCCUCGAUUUACAAUAAAUUUUUAGCCAGAGCGCUAUUAUCGUUGGGUAAAAUGACAAUAUGCGUAUAUCAAAAUCACAAUUUGUUUGAAACAUAUACGUGAUUGCAUUUAUAUACUCAUGCUAUUAUGGCGUAUUUCUUCGUUAAUGUCUUAUAGAUGUACAUUUCAUCAUUAUAUAUACGAUAUAAAGUAUACUACGUAAUUCAAGUCUAUUGGAAGAAAGGAUGAUGAAAAGGUGGAAUAUGAAAGAGAAUCUAACAGUUCAAACCGAGGGAAAUACUGUAAUAGAUGUAGCUUGCGAGUUUCUUAAAUCAUAGUUAAUUAUAGUUCGUAAGACGGCAGAAUUUAUACAUAGAUAUACACUAUUCAACGGAGUGACAGUAAACUAUUUUGCAAGUUGAUGAUUUCACGUAACUAAAAGUUUGAAAUUGUUGAUUCUCAUAUAUUGUACACAUUAUAUAUACAUAACAAAAACUAAAACUUCGUUCGAUGGAGUGAAGUAAAAAAACUAUAAAACAAAAAAAAAAAAAAAAUUCAAAAAAAAAACAAAUUGACAAACAAAUAUGUAUUUAAU